AAAAAUAUAAUCAAUGAAUUCUUUUCUCAUCUCCACACUCUAUUUAUUGCAAACAUAUUUUAUGCCAAAAACACAUACACACAUAAAAAACUGACUCCCUAGGAGUACCUAGGAUACUCUGGGUGCUAACACCUUCCCUCUGUGUAACCAACCCCCUUACCUGUAAUCUUUGGCAUUUUUUUAGUUUUGAUUUGAAAACUUCUUACCUUUAGGUUUU
Molecule: long non-coding RNA, 217 nt
Filed under: Lathyrus oleraceus (garden pea)
Lineage: Eukaryota; Viridiplantae; Streptophyta; Magnoliopsida; Fabales; Fabaceae
Description: Pisum sativum (pea) long non-coding RNA (PSAT_LNC015811)
Source: RNAcentral